This 271-nucleotide ribosomal RNA is filed under the name uncultured prokaryote. RNAcentral describes it as "partial 16S ribosomal RNA". It matches the Rfam family "Bacterial small subunit ribosomal RNA", at positions 524 to 794 of the family's 1533-position model. The record is from RNAcentral.
UACGGAGGAUGCAAGCGUUAUCCGGAUUUAUUGGGUGUAAAGGGCGUGUAGGCGGGAUAGCAAGUCAGGUGUGAAAUACCAAGGCUUAACCUUGGGGCUGCAUUUGAAACUGUUAUUCUUGAGUGUCGGAGAGGAAAGCGGAAUUCCUAGUGUAGCGGUGAAAUGCGUAGAUAUUAGGAGGAACACCAGUGGCGAAGGCGGCUUUCUGGACGAUAACUGACGCUGAGGCGCGAAAGCGUGGGGAGCAAACAGGAUUAGAUACCCUGGUAGU